Molecule: ribosomal RNA, 253 nt
Filed under: uncultured bacterium
Lineage: Bacteria
Description: partial 16S ribosomal RNA
Rfam family: Bacterial small subunit ribosomal RNA
Source: RNAcentral
GACGGAGGUGGCAAACGUUGCUCGGAAUCACUGGGCUUAAAGGGCGUGUAGGCGGCAAAUCAAGUCGGAUGUGAAAUCCCUCGGCUCAACCGAGGAACUGCACCCGAUACUGGUUAGCUAGAGUGCGAGAGGGGUGAGUGGAACUCCAGGUGUAGCGGUGAAAUGCGUAGAUAUCUGGAGGAACGCCGGUGGCGAAAGCGACUCACUGGCUCGCAACUGACGCUAAGGCGCGAAAGCUAGGGUAGCGAACGGG